RNAcentral lists this ribosomal RNA (481 nucleotides) under uncultured bacterium. Its description in RNAcentral is "partial 16S ribosomal RNA". It matches the Rfam family "Bacterial small subunit ribosomal RNA", at positions 28 to 507 of the family's 1533-position model. The record is from RNAcentral.
GAUGAACGCUGGCGGCGUGCUUAACACAUGCAAGUCGAACGAAGCAUUUAAGACAGAUUACUUCGGUUUGAAGUCUUUUAUGACUGAGUGGCGGACGGGUGAGUAACGCGUGGGUAACCUGCCUCAUACAGGGGGAUAGCAGCUGGAAACGGCUGGUAAUACCGCAUAAGCGCACAGUACCACAUGGUACAGUGUGAAAAACUCCGGUGGUAUGAGAUGGACCCGCGUCUGAUUAGCUUGUUGGCGGGGUAACGGCCCACCAAGGCGACGAUCAGUAGCCGACCGGGGAGGGUGACCGGCCACAUUGGGACUAAGACACGGACCAGACUCCUACGGAAGGCAGCAGUGGGGAAUAUUGCACAAUGGAGGAAACUCUGAUGAAGCGACGCCGCGUGAGUGAAGAAGUAGUUCGCUAUGUAAAGCUCUAUCAGCAGGGAAGAUAGUGACGGUACCUGACUAAGAAGCACCGGCUAAAUACGUG